This 1358-nucleotide long non-coding RNA is filed under the name Malus domestica (apple). RNAcentral's name for it is "long non-coding RNA (MDOM_LNC003655)". The record is from RNAcentral. Lineage: Eukaryota; Viridiplantae; Streptophyta; Magnoliopsida; Rosales; Rosaceae.
AGAAUAGCGGCAUGGGGUUGGGGCCACGUCGUGGUUUUAAUUGUCUGGUCCAAAUCUAGGCACGUUGAGAGUGCCGUUCGUCAUAGUUUUGAAAUUCCUAACCAAGCUUUCCUUUCUCUAGGGCAAAUGAAUCAAGGAAUUAAAAAAUUCGAAGAUUGGGGUAUGUUAGAAAAAUUCAAAGAGAGAGAAAUUCGAAGAGAAUUGCAAGAACUUCUUUGAGAUUUGAAUCAAUUUCUCAAUGAAGCACCCACUUGUGGUAGCAAAAUUUCGUCAUCAUAGAUUUGAUGAAAUUGUACCUACACAAAAAAAUAAACACAUUUGGUUAUAGCCAAAGCCACGCGCCCAAUAAAAAGGGAGUUUAAGCCAAUAAACCUAUGAUGCCUAAGUUUCUCUGAAAAAAGAGAGAAAUUUAGGAUUGAGUUGUAUAGAGUUCACUUUAACUUACUUGAGAAGUGUGUAGAAUAAGGUAUUUAUAUGGAGCAUGGUAGUAUCGAGGAUCUAAAGGGAGGGAUAAUUCGGCUAAACCACACAAUGGGUAGCCUAAUUUGGUAUUUAAUUCGCCAUCCACGAGAUUCGAACCUAAGAUCUCUUUCUUUCAAUUGAAAAGGAAUACCACUAGACCAUAGUACUCAAUGGCAAUCCUUGUUGAUAUUAUUAAAGUUAAUUAAUAAUAUCCUAAAAAUUAUCUUGAAGAAUCUGCUUCCUUGAGGAAAAGAAUAUGUCUUUAAUUGGAAAAUCUUAAAGGUAGGAUUUAGAUAUUAAUUCUACCAUUAAUUUCCUUGCCUUAUCUCCUUUUCAUGGGCAGAGGAGCUUAGAGAAAUUGUUAUUAGCAACUCAGGUCAUCUUGGUGGUUGAACUGCACGUGGGACGAAUGUAAGCCUUGCCAAUUAAUGAAGGCAUUUCCGUUAAUUGGAAAAAAAAUCCACGUGCCAGAUCUAGGAUUUUUUUGUUUUUUUAUAAUUAUUUUUGGCUUCACAAAAUCCUACCGCUAAUAAGAUGUGAGUUGGAACAAUAUCACUGGCAUAGAAGGUGUACAAUGUUGAAUGUUGAGCCGAAGUAGUUGAUCAUAUCUUAAUUUUGUAUAUAAGAUUGUGACCUGAAGUAGUUGAUCAUAUAUAUAUAUAUAUAAAACAUGUUACAUAAGUAUAGAGACAAAAAUAGAUCGGAAGAAUGUAUUUUUUCUCUCCGUCGUGAGAGCCUUUUCUCCUCUGUGAGAAUCCGCCGUUGUGCGAGUUUCAGUGUGGGUGUGGGUGCUCUUUCCUGCUGGUUCUGGGUGCUCACCUGGUGUUGAUGGAUCUCCGUUAGGGCGUCGUUUGCGAGGGGUGGGUGGAUCUCUUUUGGGGCGAAGUUUCGAGGGG